CUAUUUCUGGGUUAGCGGAGUCUGUAACCUGAAGCAUAUGUAACCUGAAGCGUAUGUAACCUGAGGUACCACUGUACAUUAUAUCUGUAAAUUCACAUUUCCCCAUUUCGUUAUGUACCAUCAUUUAUCCAUUUCUUAUUUCUUGCCCUGUGUCUUCCCUCCACCCGUGCGUGACUUCCUUGUUAUUAUUUUGUAACUUUAUUAUUGAGAUUGUAAUUUUGUAUCUUAAUACAGUGGUACCUCAGGUUACAUACGCUUCAGGUUACAGACUCCACUAACCCAGAAAUAG
Podarcis lilfordi (Lilford's wall lizard) is the source of this 289-nucleotide non-coding RNA. The record is from the annotation of a GenBank genome assembly. NCBI's taxonomy places the organism in Eukaryota, Metazoa, Chordata, Lepidosauria, Squamata, Lacertidae.